AUGGCCGAAGGUGAACAUGGCAGUAAGGUCAUAGAUUUUUAUGGAACCUUGAAAGAGAUCAUCCAGUUGGACUAUAACUUGGACAGUAGGUCAGUUAUUUUUUUUAAAUGUGACUGGUUUAAACUUGAUGGAAAGAAGAAGGAGCUAAAAAAUGACCGGCUUUUCAAAAGCAUCAAUGUUGAAAGUUUAUGGUACAAGGAUGAUUCUCUCAUUCUGGCUACUCAGGCAAGAAAGAUCUUUUAUUUGCCAGACACGAAGUAUGGGAAUAAUUGA
RNAcentral lists this ribosomal RNA (273 nucleotides) under Triticum aestivum (bread wheat). RNAcentral describes it as "partial small subunit ribosomal RNA". The record is from RNAcentral. Lineage: Eukaryota; Viridiplantae; Streptophyta; Magnoliopsida; Poales; Poaceae.